GGGGAAUUUUCCGCAAUGGGCGAAAGCCUGACGGAGCAAUACUGCGUGAGGGAUGACGGCCUAUGGGUUGUAAACCUCUUUUAUCAGGGUAGGAAUCAAUGACGUGUACCUGAUGAAUAAGCAUCGGCUAACUCCGUGCCAGCAGCCGCGGUAAGACGGGGGAUGCAAGUGUUAUCCGGAAUCACUGGGCGUAAAGCGUCUGUAGGUGGUCCAAUAAGUCAACUGUUAAAUCUUGAGGCUCAACCUCAAAAUCGCAGUCGAAACUAUUAGACUAGAGUAUAGUAGGGGUAAAGGGAAUUUCCAGUGGAGCGGUGAAAUGCGUAGAGAUUGGAAAGAACACCGAUGGCGAAGGCACUUUACUGGGCUAUUACUAACACUCAGAGACGAAAGCUAGGGUAGCAAAUGGGAUUAGAUACCCCAGUAGUC
This 426-nucleotide ribosomal RNA is filed under the name uncultured cyanobacterium. RNAcentral's name for it is "bacterial SSU rRNA". It matches the Rfam family "Bacterial small subunit ribosomal RNA", at positions 356 to 795 of the family's 1533-position model. The record is from RNAcentral. Lineage: Bacteria; Bacillati; Cyanobacteriota.